Molecule: ribosomal RNA, 497 nt
Filed under: uncultured bacterium
Lineage: Bacteria
Description: partial 16S ribosomal RNA
Rfam family: Bacterial small subunit ribosomal RNA
Source: RNAcentral
GAUGAACGCUGGCGGCGUGCCUAAUACAUGCAAGUCGAGCGAACAGACGAGGAGCUUGCUCCUCUGACGUUAGCGGCGGACGGGUGAGUAACACGUGGAUAACCUACCUAUAAGACUGGGAUAACUUCGGGAAACCGGAGCUAAUACCGGAUAAUAUAUUGAACCGCAUGGUUCAAUAGUGAAAGACGGUUUUGCUGUCACUUAUAGAUGGAUCCGCGCCGCAUUAGCUAGUUGGUAAGGUAACGGCUUACCAAGGCAACGAUGCGUAGCCGACCUGAGAGAGUGAUCGGCCACACUGGAACUGGGACACGGUCCAGACUACUACGGGAGGCAGCAGUAGGGAAUCUUCCGCAAUGGGCGAAAGCCUGACGGAGAAACGCCGCGUGAGUGAUGAAGGUCUUCGGAUCGUAAAACUCUGUUAUUAGGGAAGAACAAAUGUGUAAGUAACUAUGCACGUCUUGACGGUACCUAAUCAGAAAGCCACGGCUAACUACGUG